AGAGUUUGAUCCUGGCUCAGAUUGAACGCUGGCGGCAUGCUUUACACAUGCAAGUCGAACGGUAACAGGUCUUCGGAUGCUGACGAGUGGCGAACGGGUGAGUAAUGCAUCGGAACGUGCCCAGUCGUGGGGGAUAACGCAGCGAAAGCUGUGCUAAUACCGCAUACGAUCUAUGGAUGAAAGCGAGGGACCGUAAGGCCUCGCGCGAUUGGAGCGGCCGAUGUCAGAUUAGCUAGUUGGUGGGGUAAAGGCCCACCAAGGCGACGAUCUGUAGCUGGUCUGAGAGGACGACCAGCCACACUGGGACUGAGACACGGCCCAGACUCCUACGGGAGGCAGCAGUGGGGAAUUUUGGACAAUGGGCGCAAGCCUGAUCCAGCAAUGCCGCGUGCAGGAAGAAGGCCUUCGGGUUGUAAACUGCUUUUGUACGGAACGAAAAGGUUCGGGUUAAUACCCUGGGCUCAUGACGGUACCGUAAGAAUAAGCACCGGCUAACUACGUGCCAGCAGCCGCGGUAAUACGUAGGGUGCAAGCGUUAAUCGGAAUUACUGGGCGUAAAGCGUGCGCAGGCGGUUUUGUAAGACAGGCGUGAAAUCCCCGGGCUCAACCUGGGAAUGGCGCUUGUGACUGCAAAGCUGGAGUGCGGCAGAGGGGGAUGGAAUUCCGCGUGUAGCAGUGAAAUGCGUAGAUAUGCGGAGGAACACCAAUGGCGAAGGCAAUCCCCUGGGCCUGCACUGACGCUCAUGCACGAAAGCGUGGGGGAGCAACAAGGAUUAGAUACCCUGGUAGUCCACGCCCUAAAACGAUGUCAACUGGUUGUUGGUCCUUAACUGCAUCAGUAACGAACCUAACGGCGUG
Molecule: ribosomal RNA, 858 nt
Filed under: uncultured beta proteobacterium
Lineage: Bacteria; Pseudomonadati; Pseudomonadota; Betaproteobacteria
Description: bacterial SSU rRNA
Rfam family: Bacterial small subunit ribosomal RNA
Source: RNAcentral